UACGUAGGGGGCAAGCGUUGUUCGGAAUUACUGGGCGUAAAGGGGCGCGUAGGCGGCACAGCAAGUCGGGAGUGAAAAGCCCCGGGGGCUCAACCCCCGGAACGGCUUUCGAAACUGCUGAGCUAGAGUACAGAAGGGGCAACCGGAAUUCCCAGUGUAGCGGUGAAAUGCGUAGAUAUUGGGAAGAACACCUGAGGCGAAGGCGGGUUGCUGGGCUGAUACUGACGCUGAGGCGCGAAAAGCCAGGGGGAGCAAACGGGG
This 261-nucleotide ribosomal RNA is filed under the name uncultured bacterium. RNAcentral describes it as "partial 16S ribosomal RNA". It matches the Rfam family "Bacterial small subunit ribosomal RNA", at positions 524 to 777 of the family's 1533-position model. The record is from RNAcentral.